Molecule: unclassified non-coding RNA, 116 nt
Organism: Pongo abelii (Sumatran orangutan)
Lineage: Eukaryota; Metazoa; Chordata; Mammalia; Primates; Hominidae
Rfam family: Metazoan signal recognition particle RNA
About the family: The signal recognition particle (SRP) is a universally conserved ribonucleoprotein.
Source: Ensembl
GCCAGGUGUGGUGGCUCACACCUGUAAUCCCAUCAUUUGGGAGGCUGAGGCAAGUGGAUUGCCUGAGCACAGGAGUUCAAGACCUGCCUGGGCAACAUGGCAAAACCAUGUCUCUA